AAACAAAUGACGGUACCCAAAGGGGCAGCCACGGCUAACUACGUGCCAGCAGCCGCGGUAAUACGUAGGUGGCAAGCGUUGUCCGGAAUUACUGGGUGUAAAGGGAGCGCAGGCGGGGAGACAAGUCAGCUGUGAAAACUAUGGGCUUAACCCAUAGAUUGCAGUUGAAACUGUUUUUCUUGAGUGGAGUAGAGGUAGGCGGAAUUCCGAGUGUAGCGGUGAAAUGCGUAGAUAUUCGGAGGAACACCAGUGGCGAAGGCGGCCUACUGGGCUCUAACUGACGCUGAGGCUCGAAAGUGUGGGGAGCAAACAGGAUUAGAUACCCUGGUAGUCCACACUGUAAACGAUGAUUGCUAGGUGUGGGGGGUCUGACCCCUUCCGUGCCGGAGUUAACGCAAUAAGCAAUCCACCUGGGGAGUACGGCCGCAAGGUUGAACUCAAAGGAAUUGACGGGGACCCGCACAAGCAGUGGAUUAUGUGGUUUAAUUCGAAGCAACGCGAAGAACCUUACCAGGUCUUGACAUCCAACUAACGAGGCAGAGAU
Molecule: ribosomal RNA, 544 nt
Filed under: uncultured Bacillota bacterium
Lineage: Bacteria; Bacillati; Bacillota
Description: bacterial SSU rRNA
Rfam family: Bacterial small subunit ribosomal RNA
Source: RNAcentral